This 385-nucleotide ribosomal RNA is filed under the name uncultured bacterium. RNAcentral describes it as "bacterial SSU rRNA". It matches the Rfam family "Bacterial small subunit ribosomal RNA", at positions 30 to 417 of the family's 1533-position model. The record is from RNAcentral.
AUUGAACGCUGGCGGCAUGCCUUACACAUGCAAGUCGAACGGCAGCACGGGAGCAAUCCUGGUGGCGAGUGGCGAACGGGUGAGUAAUAUAUCGGAACGUGCCCAGUCGUGGGGAUAACGUAGCGAAAGCUACGCUAAUACCGCAUACGAUCUAUGGAUGAAAGCGGGGGAUCGCAAGACCUCGCGCGAUUGGAGCGGCCGAUAUCAGAUUAGGUAGUUGGUGAGGUAAAGGCUCACCAAGCCGACGAUCUGUAGCUGGUCUGAGAGGACGACCAGCCACACUGGGACUGAGACACGGCCCAGACUCCUACGGGAGGCAGCAGUGGGGAAUUUUGGACAAUGGCGCAAGCCUGAUCCAGCAAUGCCGCGUGAGUGAAGAAGGCCU